CCCUUUCUCCUCCGCGCGCUGCCGCCGCCGGGCUGCGCCGUGCCACCGGGGCCACCGCCUCCACCGCCUGGGCCGCCGCCUGUCUCUGCCGCGCGAGGAAGAAAAGAGGGAGAGAGAGGAGGGAGAGGGAGCAAAGAGGAUGACACGUGGGACCCAGUUGUCAUAGACUCAGAAUAAAAAAGAUAGAGAGACUAUUAAAAAGUAAAAAACGAAUUUAAAUGGCUAAAUAAAAUGAUGAGGAGCUAAAUAGAUAUUUGGAGAGUCUAAUUUAAAUUAUCUGUUGG
Molecule: long non-coding RNA, 284 nt
Filed under: Oryza brachyantha (malo sina)
Lineage: Eukaryota; Viridiplantae; Streptophyta; Magnoliopsida; Poales; Poaceae
Description: long non-coding RNA (OBRA_LNC000565)
Source: RNAcentral